UCCCAAAGUACUGGGAUUAAAGGCAUGAGCUACUACAUCCAGCCAAAAGCUACAUUUUCAAGACUAGAUAAAAAGGCUACAAGGUUCAUCUGCAAGUUUCUUCAAAUGGUUGCAAUGCUUACUGCAACCUCCAUCUCCUAGGCUCCAGUGAUCCUCCUGCCUCAGCCUCCCAAAGUGCUGGGAUUACAAGCAUGAGCUACUACAUCUGUCCAAAAGCUGCAUUUCCAAGACCAGAUUUAACCAAACUGCAAAGUCUGAGGGCAUGGUUCCUAAAAUUUCCCUCAUUCCUGACACGAACAGCAAGUUUUAGAGGUUUCCAAAGCACCCUAAGUUUCAAUCAUUUGCUGGAAGAACUCACAGAAGUCAUUGAAAACUGCUGUACACAUGGUUACUGUUUACUGCAGGGAAAGGAUACAAAUCAGAACCAGCACAGAGGGCAGGGCUAGGAGGGUCUGUGAAGCCUCUGUUGUCCUCAGGUGCAUUACUCUCCCAGCAUCCACGUGUGACAAUACCAUGAAGCACUGCCAACCUAGGAACCUCACCCAAGCCUUGGUGUCCGGAGUGUUUCCUGGAACUGCAUUGUGCAGCCAUAAUUGACUGAUCUGUUGGAGACUGGUUGGAACUCUGUCUUCAUCUCUCCCUUUCCCGGAAUCUGGGGCUGACAGCACAUUCCUGGGAGGGCCCACCAUGAGCCAGCUGGUAGCAUAAACUUCAGGUAUAGUCUGAGGGACCCACCAUGAAUAGCAAAGACCCUCCUGUCACAUGGUCUUCAGGACUACUUGCCAGGAGCCAGGACAAAGGCUAGACCUCUUCUUUGGGCUAGGCCAAAUUCUUUACCACACAGAAAUCAUAUUUAGGAUUCAAAUGUGCCAUUUUUAUUUGCUUUCUGCAUGUUUCUUAUGUUUCCUUUAUUCUGUUUUGUUUCACUUGUCAUGGAUUACUUAAACAGUUUUUAGCAUUUCAUUUUGAAUUAUUUAUACUUUUGGGUGCAUUGCUUUGUAUCGUUUUGUAAGUGGCUGCUCUAGGAUUGAUUAUAAUAUACCCACGUAACUUAUCACAGCCUGCUGGCAUCAAUGUUUCACCACUUCAUGAGAAAUAUCAAAAGCUUACUUUUAUUUACUUCCCCUUUUCCUCCCCCACUUAAACAUGUAAUUAUCAUAAAUAUUUCCUGUUCAGAUGUAGAGCACCGCAGCAG
Homo sapiens (human) is the source of this 1195-nucleotide long non-coding RNA. RefSeq lists it as uncharacterized. The transcript is spliced from 3 exons. Lineage: Eukaryota; Metazoa; Chordata; Mammalia; Primates; Hominidae. The record is from RefSeq and is a predicted model, not a curated record.